This 253-nucleotide ribosomal RNA is filed under the name uncultured bacterium. Its description in RNAcentral is "partial 16S ribosomal RNA". It matches the Rfam family "Bacterial small subunit ribosomal RNA", at positions 524 to 776 of the family's 1533-position model. The record is from RNAcentral.
UACGUAGGGGGCAAGCGUUAUCCGGAUUUACUGGGUGUAAAGGGAGCGUAGACGGCAGCGCAAGUCUGGAGUGAAAUGCCGGGGCCCAACCCCGGAACUGCUUUGGAAACUGUGCGGCUCGAGUGCGGGAGAGGUAGGCGGAAUUCCUAGUGUAGCGGUGAAAUGCGUAGAUAUUAGGAGGAACACCAGUGGCGAAGGCGGCUUUCUGGACUGAAACUGACGCUGAGGCACGAAAGCGUGGGGAGCGAACAGG